ACACCUGCAAGUCGAGCGGUAAUAGGAUGCUUGCNCCCCUGACGAGUGGUAAACGGGUGAGUAAUGCGUCGGAGCGUGCCGAGUAGUGGGGGAUAACGCAACGAAAGUUGUGCUAAUACCGCAUACGUACUGAGGUAGAAAGUGGGGGACCUUCGGGCCUCACGCUAUUCGAGCGGCCGACGUCUGAUUAGCUAGUAGGUGAGGUAAAGGCUCACCUAGGCGACGAUCAGUAGCGGGUCUGAGAGGAUGAUCCGCCACACUGGGACUGAGACACGGACCANACUCCUACAGGAGGCAGCAGUGGGGAAUUUUGGACAAUGGGCGAAAGCCUGAUCCANCCAUGCCGCGUGUCUGANGAAGGCCUUCNGGUUGUAAAGGACUUUUGUCAGGGAGGAAAUCCCUAGNGCUAAUACCNCUGGGGGAUGACAGUACCUGANNAAUAAGCACCGGCUAACUACNUGCCAGCAGCCGCGGNAAUAAAAAAAAUA
This 488-nucleotide ribosomal RNA is filed under the name uncultured bacterium. Its description in RNAcentral is "partial 16S ribosomal RNA". It matches the Rfam family "Bacterial small subunit ribosomal RNA", at positions 51 to 534 of the family's 1533-position model. The record is from RNAcentral.